Molecule: long non-coding RNA, 2367 nt
Filed under: Sinocyclocheilus anshuiensis
Lineage: Eukaryota; Metazoa; Chordata; Actinopteri; Cypriniformes; Cyprinidae
Description: lncRNA (ENSSANG00000037414.1)
Source: RNAcentral
ACACCUGCGGCAGUCACCGUUUGUUUUAUAUGAAGAGGACAGGAUGCAGGCAGCUUUGUGUGUGCUGUUUGCAGCUCUGUGUGCGAACAGGGUCUCCUCAUCUCCGCUGAAGUCUGUCCAUGCCGGGGAAAAGCUGGCCUCCAUGGAUGACAUGAACAUCCUGAUGUACGGUGUGCUGCAGUUCACUGAAACCCUGCACCAUAUGCACCAGAGCACAGAGGCCAGGCUGGCCCGCAUCAUGAAAGCCAUCAGCCGAACUGAGAGUGAGGUGAAUAGACUGGGGCACGACACGGAGGAGGCUGCUAAAAAUGAGCAACAGAUUAAAGAGAAACUCCAGCUCAUUCAGGAUCAGAUGAAAGCGCUGGAGAUUCAAGUCCAUGAGAACAGAGAUACAGUCACCAGGGUGGAGCUGGAAGAGGCACAGCUAAAGAAAAAACUAACCAGCCUGGAGGAAAACCUAAACAGCUCUGUCCCAGACACGAUCAAGGGCACACCACUUAAAAACAUCUCUAACCUGAAGGACCUGAUGAAGUGGACACAAGAACAGAAACUGAAAUUGGAGAAUCAAAACCAGCUGCUGGCUGAUUUACAGAAACAGAAUAUGGUGUAACCACUAAAAUCACCUACAAGCAGGAAGUGCAAUCAACACUCAUCAACACUCCAUUCACGGCACUGCAAAUGGAUCUCACUUACUUCAUGAUCAUAAAUAUGACACAGUUGUCCACUUUGCCAUGCAUUUUAUGCUCACAUUGGGCUUCAAUUAUGAAACAUAAGGAGAGUGAAUUUCUGUGUAAAACAUUUGCUGCAUGAAAACCCCAUUACAAACAUUUAGCUGAUUUUUUUGUAGUGAAUAAUGUGUUUAUAAUAGCACAAAACAUAAUUAUCAUAAUAUAUGUAUGUAACUAAUAACUUAAUACUUUUUAACUUAUAACUGAAGGAAAAAGUGGUGUGUCUUCUCUUUCUGUUUUAAAACAAUUUUUUAAAGUUUUAUUUACUUUCUACAUAAAUGUUACUGGCCUUUCUAUGUACGAUAAAUCAGUACUUACAUAGUUUUAAAUAAAUGAAAUGUUCUUUUCAUAAGUGUUUAUAACCUUCUCCACGGAAGAAACAAUGCCAACGUAACCAUGGCUGUAUGGGUGGGCAAAUAUGAAACUAACCAAUAAUUUUGGCUAAAUUAAAGUAACAAUCAUCCACAAAUGGAAAAAAAAAGUGAUUUAUACCAUCUAACACAAAAGCAGAUGUUUUCCAUACAAGGAAAUUGGAUGUUGAUUUGAUACUUCAAGAGUUUGAGGUCAGCAAGAUUUUUUACUGUUUUUGAAAUUGCAAUUUAAAAUAAAUGUUUUCCAUUGUAAUAUAUUUUAAAUGUAAUUUAUUUCUGUGAUGUUAAUUGAAGACGACCAAUGAAUAACAGCUUAAAUUUUAGUGUUUUCCUCACACAAGACAAUCCUAUGAAUUCAGACGACUCGGAAUGUAGUUUUAUGAUACCUUUAGAUAUAUUAGCAUCUCUUAGUCAUGAAUGUGUGUGGGCUGACCUGUAGGUAGUGUGUGGGGUGUAGACGUAGCGCGCGGGAAACUCCAGCACCUCUUUUGUGGGGCGCACACGUGGGUCAGGGUAAGGCUUCACAUGAAGCAGCUCUGGAGAAAGACAGUAGUGAGGGGCCUCUGGAGCCGGGGAGAUAUCUAUCUUCAACUGAGCUAGACAGAAAGAGACCGACAGAGUGUGAUAAAAAGCUUAAAUAAUUGAACCUAUGUGGUAAAAAUAAGUGCGGACAGAUACCAGUCACAGGUCUGAGUCGACGCAGGACAGACGACGGCCUCCUCAUGUCUGCCAGGAACUUAUAUAAGUCUUCAUCACUCAAUCUGUCCCCCUCCUGCAGCAGUACAGAAACUCUCAGCAUUCGUUCAGUGGCUAAAUAAUAUAUUGUGCUAAUACACUACCGUCAGAAAUGUGCAUGAAUAGAGAACUGACCUGUUUGAAGAAAUUGGUGACAGUGAGAGUCGCUGGACGAAAGUUAGUGAAGUUGCACAUGUCCUCUCCUACACUCAUCCUCUCAAAUCCUUUCUUCUUCCUCUCAUUCCACGUCCCCUUACGCUCUGUAAGGAAUGAGAAAAUGCUGUUUAGUGUCAUGCAACUAGGGCUGGAUGACAUAUAGAAUAUUUAUAUUCAACAUUACUUUGUUAGCUAUACAAAAUUAACCAACAUUGUGAAUAUAGGAUCCAGUGGAUCCUCUGCAGUGAAUGGGUGCCGUCAGAAUGAGGGUCCAAACAACUGAUAAAAACAUCACAAUAAGUAAUUCACACGACUCCAGUCCAUCAAUUAAUGUCUUGUGAAGUGAAAAGCUGCAUGUUUGUAAUAAACAAAUUCAU